AACACUCGCGCUGUAUGCCAUGGUCAUCAUGCUCCACGAUAGAACGAGUACAUCUAACGAGCUAAUAACCGUUCCAAUUAUUUGGAAAAGCCCGAAAUCGCCAGUUUCUUUGAUGAUCUUUCCAAGAGAAACGGCCUCUUCUUGAAUGACAUCCGAUUCUAUUUCGCUCUCCUUCGCUGCAGCCAUUAGAACCAAUUCGCAACCUCCGCGCAGUGAUUUGACGGGAACCAGCAUAGCUGUAUGUGAGAGCAAGGAACGACAACUCUGCAUGGAGAUUGCUUCUGCAGACGGAACAUCAAGGGCAUGUCUUAGUAAUAACAAAGGGAAGCAAUCGCACACUGUCUGAGGUGCAUUGGAUCAAGUCAACAUCUAAAAACCAAAUACGUUAGUGGAUAUUUGUUGGAAAUCAAGCUGCAAACACAUGGUGAUGCUGAUAUCAGUCAGGGAAUAGAGAGGCUCCAUGGUUACAUACAGACCUUGUUUCCUAUAGCAACCGUUGCUGAGCAGUUUAGUGAAAGAGUCCAAUUUAAAGUACCAAUAUAUGUAGCUCAGUCUUUGGCGGAGAUAUUUGAUUUAGUAAAAUAUAUUUUUUCAAGUAAUGGUUUAAAUUCAUUAUGACAAAUCAUAAGUACAAUGUUUUGGUGUGUGGCUACUUAUUGUAUAUUUGUACAGAAUAUGUUUAAAUGAAAUAAGUUUCAUUAAAUAAUUAAAAAUAUAAUUCUAAUAUCACUAAUAAAAAGCCAACAGACAAAACAUGUAUUUUAUAUAUGCAAUGCAGAAAAAAAUGUUUGAUUUAUUGGACCUCACUAUAGUAAUAAACAUUAACGGAC
This is a long non-coding RNA of Dreissena polymorpha, 830 nucleotides long. RefSeq lists it as uncharacterized. The record is from RefSeq and is a predicted model, not a curated record. Lineage: Eukaryota; Metazoa; Mollusca; Bivalvia; Myida; Dreissenidae. The transcript is spliced from 3 exons.